AAGUCGAGGGGUAGAGGGUGCUUGCAUCCUUGAGACCGGCGCACGGGUGCGUAACGCGUAUGCAACCUGCCUUCCACAGGGGAAUAGCCCAGAGAAAUUUGGAUUAAUGCCCCAUGGCACAGCGAGACGGCAUCGUCUUGCUGUUAAAGUAACAACGGUGGAAGAUGGGCAUGCGUCCCAUUAGCUAGUUGGUAAGGUAACGGCUUACCAAGGCUAUGAUGGGUAGGGGUCCUGAGAGGGAGAUCCCCCACACUGGUACUGAGACACGGACCAGACUCCUACGGGAGGCAGCAGUGAGGAAUAUUGGUCAAUGGUCGCAAGACUGAACCAGCCAUGCCGCGUGCAGGAUGACGGUCCUAUGGAUUGUAAACUGCUUUUGUACGGGAAGAAACACUCCUACGUGUAGGGGCUUGACGGUACCGUAAGAAUAAGGAUCGGCUAACUCCGUGCCAGCAGCCGCGGUAAUACGGAGGAUCCGAGCGUUAUCCGGAAUCAUUGGGUUUAAAGGGUCCGUAGGCGGCCCUGUAAGUCAGCGGUGAAAUCU
This 544-nucleotide ribosomal RNA is filed under the name Flavobacterium lindanitolerans. RNAcentral describes it as "bacterial SSU rRNA". It matches the Rfam family "Bacterial small subunit ribosomal RNA", at positions 59 to 602 of the family's 1533-position model. The record is from RNAcentral. Lineage: Bacteria; Pseudomonadati; Bacteroidota; Flavobacteriia; Flavobacteriales; Flavobacteriaceae.